CAAGAUCUGUAUCCCGUGAAUGUUAAGCCACAAUCAUGCCAUCAUAUGUCUCGGAGGCGAUGGUGAUGCCACAUUUGCGCUGAAGGUUAUGGUGUCCAUGGGGCAUUUAAAGGGAUGUCAGCGCCGCACUGCUUGAGCAGACGGUCAUCAAUGUCAUCUCCCCGCUAUCAACACGGACUAUCACCGCAACAUUAAGCAGACGGCUGGGAUCCAAGGAGAAAUUUAGUGCUGCGAUGGUAGUUGUAGGCCGCAGGCCAGGCUGAAAAGGCUCGUGUGAUGCUAGCGGCAGGUGGGAGUAAUGGGGCCAUGGCCGAGGAGAGGUAGUGCUUAGACGCAUAAAAAGAGGAAGAAGAAACGAAUGUUCUGAAGGAGGAGCAGAGGGUGCCAAAG
Molecule: unclassified non-coding RNA, 390 nt
Filed under: Hevea brasiliensis (rubber tree)
Lineage: Eukaryota; Viridiplantae; Streptophyta; Magnoliopsida; Malpighiales; Euphorbiaceae
Source: RNAcentral